RNAcentral lists this ribosomal RNA (497 nucleotides) under uncultured bacterium. RNAcentral describes it as "partial 16S ribosomal RNA". It matches the Rfam family "Bacterial small subunit ribosomal RNA", at positions 28 to 507 of the family's 1533-position model. The record is from RNAcentral.
GAUGAACGCUGGCGGCGUGCCUAAUACAUGCAAGUCGAGCGAACGGACGAGAAGCUUGCUUCUCUGAUGUUAGCGGCGGACGGGUGAGUAACACGUGGAUAACCUACCUAUAAGACUGGGAUAACUUCGGGAAACCGGAGCUAAUACCGGAUAAUAUUUUGAACCGCAUGGUUCAAAAGUGAAAGACGGUCUUGCUGUCACUUAUAGAUGGAUCCGCGCUGCAUUAGCUAGUUGGUAAGGUAACGGCUUACCAAGGCAACGAUGCAUAGCCGACCUGAGAGGGUGAGCGGCCACACUGGAACUGAGACACGGGCCAGACUCCUAAGGGAGGCAGCAGUAGGGAAUCGUCCGCAAUGGGCGAAAGCCUGACGGAGCAACGCCGCGUGAGUGAUGAAGGUCUUCGGAUCGUAAAACUCUGUUAUUAGGGAAGAACAAAUGUGUAAGUAACUGUGCACAUCUUGACGGUACCUAAUCAGAAAGCCACGGCUAACUACGUG